This 468-nucleotide ribosomal RNA is filed under the name uncultured bacterium. Its description in RNAcentral is "partial 16S ribosomal RNA". It matches the Rfam family "Bacterial small subunit ribosomal RNA", at positions 28 to 507 of the family's 1533-position model. The record is from RNAcentral.
GACGAACGCUGGCGGCGUGCUUAACACAUGCAAGUCGAACGGAAAGGCCCUGCUUUUGUGGGGUGCUCGAGUGGCGAACGGGUGAGUAACACGUGAGUAACCUGCCCUUGACUUUGGGAUAACUUCAGGAAACUGGGGCUAAUACCGGAUAGGAGCUCCUGCUGCAUGGUGGGGGUUGGAAAGUUUCGGCGGUUGGGGAUGGACUCGCGGCUUAUCAGCUUGUUGGUGGGGUAGUGGCUUACCAAGGCUUUGACGGGUAGCCGGCCUGAGAGGGUGACCGGCCACAUUGGGACUGAGAGACGGCCCAGACUCCUACGGGAGGCAGAAGGGGGGAAUAAUGCACAAUGGGCGGAAGGCUUAUGCAGCAACGCCGCGGGCGGGAUGGCGGCCUUCGGGGUGUAAACCGCUUUUGCCUGUGACGAAGCGUGAGUGACGGGAAUGGGUAAAGAAGCACCGGCUAACUACGUG